RNAcentral lists this ribosomal RNA (305 nucleotides) under uncultured bacterium. RNAcentral describes it as "bacterial SSU rRNA". It matches the Rfam family "Bacterial small subunit ribosomal RNA", at positions 336 to 658 of the family's 1533-position model. The record is from RNAcentral.
CUCCUACGGGGCGUAGCAGUGGGGGAUAUUGCACAAUGGGGGAAACCCUGAUGCAGCGACGCCGCGUGGGUGAAGAAGCGCCUCGGCGCGUAAAGCCCUGUCAGCAGGGAAGAAAAUGACGGUACCUGAAGAAGAAGCCCCGGCUAACUACGUGCCAGCAGCCGCGGUAAUACGUAGGGGGCAAGCGUUGUCCGGAUUUACUGGGUGUAAAGGGGGCGCAGACGGCGAUGCAAGCCAGGAGUGAAAGCCCGGGGCCCACACCCGUGACUGCUCUUGGAACUGCGUGGCUAGAGUGCAGGAGGGGG